AAACUUUCGUGAUAAUCUUAACGUUGCCUGAUCAUAAUGUGCGAAAAGAUUUACAAACUGUGGAAGGGGAGUUGUAGAAGUCUCAAAACUUGAACUUGGACUUCAAUCACAAGAUGAUUUGAUCAUGACCUGGCCGAUGAUGAGCCCAAGAUUCCUAUAACAACCUAUUAUCUUGAUAAUCAGAGAAGUUUUACCUCCAUGAGUUCCAUGAGGAAAAUGGCAGAAGAGGAAAGUCAUUUGGUGGCAUUGAGUGGAUAAAGACGAAGAAGCUGUCAGACAAAAGAAAGAAUCCCACUG
Molecule: long non-coding RNA, 297 nt
Organism: Cucumis melo (muskmelon)
Lineage: Eukaryota; Viridiplantae; Streptophyta; Magnoliopsida; Cucurbitales; Cucurbitaceae
Exons: 2
Source: RefSeq, a predicted model, not a curated record